GUCAAGUAAGAAUACCCGCUGAACUUAAGCAUAUCAAUAAGCGGAGGAAAAGAAACUAACUAGGAUUCCCUUAGUAACGGCGAGUGAACUGGGAAAAGCUCAAAUUUUAAAUCACCCCGGUGAAUUGUAAUUUGAAGAAAGUGAUUUGACUUUUCAGUUUAAUCUAAAUCCUUUGGGAUGAGGUAUCAUAGAGGGUGAGAAUCCCGUUCUUGAUUAAACCUCGGAUUGCACUAAUUCACUUUCUAAGAGUCGAGUUGUUUGGGAUUGCAGCUCCAAAUGGGUGGUAAAUUUCACCUAAGGCUAAAUAUAUGCAAGAGACCGAUAGCGAACAAGUACCGUGAGGGAAAGAUGAAAAGAACUUUGAAAAGAGAGUUAAAUAGUACGUGAAAUUGUUGAAAGGGAAACGAUUGAAGUCAGUCAUGCUAGUGAGGAAUCAACUUGGUGGUUUACUUCCUUGUGCAUUUUCUCGCUUGGCAGGUUAGCAUCAAUUUUGGUUGUCAUCAAAGAAUUGGGGGAAUGUGGCUUUUCUUCGGUAAAGUGUUAUAGACCCUGAUUGAUGUGGCGACUGGGAUUGAGGUUUGCAGCGAAUGCCUUUUUGGGCUAGUCACCUGUCUUCUGACCGUCACCUCGCUUUUGACAGCUUGCUGAUGAUCGCGGGAUUUGGCGACCUAGGAGUUAGAGUGAACAUAAAUUCGCUAAGGAAGCUGACGUAAUGGCUUUAAACGACCCGUCUUGAAACACGGACCAAGGAGUCUAACAUAUGUGCGAGUGUU
Molecule: ribosomal RNA, 773 nt
Filed under: uncultured Acaulosporaceae
Lineage: Eukaryota; Fungi; Glomeromycota; Glomeromycetes; Diversisporales; Acaulosporaceae
Description: eukaryotic LSU rRNA
Rfam family: Eukaryotic large subunit ribosomal RNA
Source: RNAcentral